Molecule: ribosomal RNA, 874 nt
Filed under: uncultured organism
Description: bacterial SSU rRNA
Rfam family: Bacterial small subunit ribosomal RNA
Source: RNAcentral
GAGGAAUCCCAGAGGAAGUCACGGCUAACUUCGUGCCAGCAGCCGCGGUAAGACGAAGGUGGCAAGCGUUGUUCGGAAUCACUGGGCUUAAAGAGCACGUAGGCGGACUGUCAAGCGUCUUGUGAAAGCCCUCGGCUUAACCGGGGAAUUGCUUGGCGAACUGGCAGUCUUGAGGCAGGUAGGGGCAACUGGAACUCUUGGUGGAGCGGUGGAAUGCGUAGAUAUCAAGAGGAACGCCAGAGGCGAAGGCGAGUUGCUGGGCCUGUCCUGACGCUGAGGUGCGAAAGCCAGGGGAGCGAACGGGAUUAGAUACCCCGGUAGUCCUGGCCCUAAACGAUGUCUACUAGGUCGAGGAUUCUCUGACGGAUUCUUGGCCGAAAUGAAAACGAUAAGUAGACCGCCUGGGGAGUACGGUCGCAAGGCUAAAACUCAAAGGAAUUGACGGGGGCUCACACAAGCGGUGGAGCAUGUUGCUUAAUUCGAUGCAACGCGAAGAACCUUAUCCUGGGCUUGACAUGAUUGGAUGCCCUCUGGGAAACCAGAGUAAGCUGCCCUUCGGGGUGAAACUUUCACAGGUGCUGCAUGGCUGUCGUCAGCUCGUGUCGUGAGAUGUUGGGUUAAGUCCCGUAACGAGCGAAACCCUUGUCGCUAGUUGCCGGCGCGUAAUGGCGGGGACUCUAGCGAGACUGCCGGUGUCAAACCGGAGGAAGGUGGGGAUGACGUCAAGUCCUCAUGGCCUUUAUGCCCAGGGCUGCAAACGUGCUACAAUGGCCGGUACAAAGCGAAGCAAGACCGCGAGGUGGAGCAAAUCGCAAAAAGCCGGCCUCAGUUCGGAUUGGAGUCUGCAACUCGACUCCAUGAAGUCGGAAUCGCU